CUUCAUUCAUAUCAUAUACUCUCUGUGGGGGCUAAUUUGCAUAUAACGGAAGAUAUAUGGCAUAUAAACUCUCACAUGUCGCGAAGACGAUAGAUUCAACAUUAUAUAUUCGAAGUGUUGGAUGGUGUGUCCUAACGCUGUUGUGUCAUUUUAAAUACUUACAUCAAGACGUGAAGCUACUUUUGUUGUACAAUUCAAAUUCUGUCGGUUCAUAAUGUUGAAAAUGUAUGGUCAACGUGUUUAUUUUAUUCAAUAUCUGGUGACGCUAGUUCUUGUUCGUCAAGUUUGUAGCAACGGUGCGCUAGAUAAAAAUCAUAAUAUUUACUGCAACCCAUAUCCUCAAGUGGUUUCUGUGGAUCAAAGGGAUUACCGUGCUUUGUGAAUCUCCAUCGAUGUCAAGGUUCCAUUGCUAGUCAAUCACCUGACAUUAAAAAGUGUGUCGUAAAAACAUAUGAAAAUGUCACUGUGGAAGUAGUUGUAGACUCUGGAACAAAAAAUAUCUCCCUCAGCAACCAUACCAGUUGCAAAGAAGAAUGUAGCAAUUCUUGCCCAUCCUUUUUAACACAAAAUGAUGAAUGUGGAUGUCGUGUACUCAUAGUUCACCACCUCGUGGACACAAGUGCCCUGAAUACCA
This is a long non-coding RNA of Xenia sp. Carnegie-2017, 634 nucleotides long. RefSeq lists it as uncharacterized. The transcript is spliced from 2 exons. Lineage: Eukaryota; Metazoa; Cnidaria; Anthozoa; Malacalcyonacea; Xeniidae. The record is from RefSeq and is a predicted model, not a curated record.